RNAcentral lists this ribosomal RNA (1718 nucleotides) under Pseudotryblidium neesii. RNAcentral describes it as "partial large subunit ribosomal RNA". It matches the Rfam family "Eukaryotic large subunit ribosomal RNA", at positions 68 to 1390 of the family's 3401-position model. The record is from RNAcentral. Lineage: Eukaryota; Fungi; Ascomycota; Leotiomycetes; Helotiales.
ACUCCGAGAUUCCUCAGUACGGCGAGUGAAGCGGUAACAGCUCAAAUUUGAAAUCUGGGUCUUUUAGGCUCCGAGUUGUAAUUUGUAGAAGAUGCUUCGGGUGCGGCUCCGGUCUAAGUUCCUUGGAACAGGACGUCAUAGAGGGUGAGAAUCCCGUAUGUGAUCGGCCGCUUGCGCCCAUGUGAAGCUCUUUCGACGAGUCGAGUUGUUUGGGAAUGCAGCUCAAAAUGGGUGGUAAAUUUCAUCUAAAGCUAAAUAUUGGCCAGAGACCGAUAGCGCACAAGUAGAGUGAUCGAAAGAUGAAAAGCACUUUGGAAAGAGAGUUAAACAGUACGUGAAAUUGUUGAAAGGGAAGCGCUUGCAACCAGACUUGCGCGGGGUUGAUCAUCUAGGGUUCUCCCUAGUGCACUCGACCCCGCUCAGGCCAGCAUCGGUUUCGGUGGUUGGAGAAAGGCCUUGGGAAUGUAGCUUCUUUCGGGGAGUGUUAUAGCCCUCGGUGCAAUGCAGCCUACCGGGACCGAGGACCGCGCUUCGGCUAGGAUGCUGGCGUAAUGGUUGUAAGCGACCCGUCUUGAAACACGGACCAAGGAGUCUAACAUCUAUGCGAGUGUUUGGGUGUCAAACCCAUACGCGGAAUGAAAGUGAACGGAGGUGAGAACCCUUAAGGGUGCAUCAUCGACCGAUCCUGAUGUCUUCGGAUGGAUUUGAGUAAGAGCAUAGCUGUUGGGACCCGAAAGAUGGUGAACUAUGCCUGAAUAGGGUGAAGCCAGAGGAAACUCUGGUGGAGGCUCGCAGCGGUUCUGACGUGCAAAUCGAUCGUCAAAUUUGGGUAUAGGGGCGAAAGACUAAUCGAACCAUUCCACAAGCUAGGUGGUUAAGAGGUGGCUGAAAGUGCCUACCUAGUCCUUAAGCCAAGGGCGACACUGUCCAAUUGUUCGGGGACGUCCUGUUGAUUGCUAAGCUACCGCAGCCUGCUCGAAAGGGGGGUGCGCACCGGGGUAAUGACCUAGGGGAUGGUAAUAACGCUUAGAUAGGGAUAAUCCGCAGCCAAGUCCUAAGGGCCCAACGCCUAUGGAUGCAGUUCACAGACUAAAUGGCAGUGGGUCUAGCGUGCGAGAGCGUGCUAGGCUUAAGUUAUAGUCGAUCCGCUGGGAGACCGGUUGGGUGGGAGGAAGAGGAUAGGGGUGGCUUUGUGCCCUAUCCUCCCGAGCCCGCCUAGGAGAUCCGCAGGUCUCUGGGGUGCUGGGCAGCGUAGGCUGCCCGCACGACAAUGCUAGUAGCUGGUUCCUGCCGAAGUUUCCCUCAGGAUAGCAGUGUUGAAUUCAGUUUUAUGAGGUAAAGCGAAUGAUUAGAGGCCUUGGGGUUGAAACAACCUUAACCUAUUCUCAAACUUUAAAUAUGUAAGAAGUCCUUGUUACUUAAUUGAACGUGGACAUUCGAAUGUACCAACACUAGUGGGCCAUUUUUGGUAAGCAGAACUGGCGAUGCGGGAUGAACCGAACGUGAAGUUAAGGUGCCGGAAUAUACGCUCAUCAGACACCACAAAAGGUGUUAGUUCAUCUAGACAGCAGGACGGUGGCCAUGGAAGUCGGAAUCCGCUAAGGAAUGUGUAACAACUCACCUGCCGAAUGAACUAGCCCUGAAAAUGGAUGGCGCUUAAGCGUAUUACCCAUACUUCACCGCCAGGGUAGAAACGAUGCCCUGGCGAGUAGGCAGGC